UUUUUCUGUGUGACAUUUGAAUUCAUCAGUAUUUUGUUGCUAUACAAUAUGUUUCACCCACGUAGGGCUUCAAGGAUGUGUGAGUAACCCCUGCAGCAGUGCAGGCGUUACUGCGUCACUCUGGUCCUACUAGGCAGCAUGUGUGGGCCCAGUGACGUUAAUGACGUGAGAGCAACUUCCUCAGGAUAAACCACAGCGUGAAGAAUGACAGAAAAAAAGAACAUCCUCUGCUCUCCCACAAGUACCUAACGUCCUCAGCUUUGUCCCUUUCCAUGCUUCAGUGCUUGUUUUCAGGAAGACUCUUGCUUCCUGCAUGAUGGAGUGGUGGAUGAGAGGAGGAAGAGGGGGAAGGGACUGGGAAGAAAAGGCACACUCACCCAGAUGGAUGAGGAUGCUCAAGUUUGGAAUUAUUAGGAAAUGGGACAAUCAGCACAGGCCAGGAAAACAAGCAGUGAGGGUCACAGACGAAAAGACAAGGACAUCCGAACCCCAUUCAUUCCUGUGCAUCCCUGAAGAAAGUGGCUCCUUCUCCCUUUCCCUGGUUCAGUUACUGCUGCAGUUAUUUCAGUUUCUGACCAGCUGUGGUGUGGGCUUGCAGUGGCAAAAUGACUUCUCGGCUUUGGAAGACAUGCCAACAUCAGUGCAUCAAACACAGCCGACUACACCUUCGCCCUGCUAACCCUGAGGUAGACUGCUGUGUCUCACUGAGUCACACCUGCAACUAUGAGGCUGAGUGGUAAAUUAUCCAGCAAGGAUCUGCUAAUUAUCAGACUUCAUGGGUGUCAUGGAUGUUGGAUGUCAUCUUCAUUAAGUGUCACAGGUAUUUGCUCUAUACAUUGAACUAAACUGAGAUGAACUAUGUAUAAACUACCUCUGAUUAAUGAAAUGGGUUAUAGACACUGACCACACAUCACAUUGAAGUGGUAAAGAUUUUUUUCUGUCACUAUUAAGGAUGAGGAGAGUAUCAUUAGUGGGAAGAUGACUGUGAAAUGGAAGGAGUGCUAGAGCAGAGCCCAUGCUCGUGAAUCAUCAGUUGGUCUCAAACCCUUUCCUGGGGUGAAUCCUUCUCCUGAACGAUCCAACGAAACCACUCCAUCAAACAGUGCAGGUAGAAAAACAAAUUGAGAAAACUGGAAGACAGAACAAAUUACAACAAAGAUGGCCGGUUGAAAGGUAUCGUGGUCAGAAAAUCACAACGCAGAGUCCACUUUUCCUCAUAAGCACAAAACAAACCUUUGAUUCUCUCCUUUUGUAUAACUAUUACUUGACUUUUGAUAACCAGAAGCCCAAAUAAACAUUUCACUGGACAGUCUCA
Molecule: long non-coding RNA, 1315 nt
Filed under: Betta splendens (Siamese fighting fish)
Lineage: Eukaryota; Metazoa; Chordata; Actinopteri; Anabantiformes; Osphronemidae
Description: lncRNA (ENSBSLG00000022273.1)
Source: RNAcentral